CCCUAGCCCCGAUGGAAACGAAAAGCCCGGAGCUUAUGAAUGUAAUUUUUCUUGCACCAAAAAAGCGACCAGAGGAAGCUCUUUUUAGUGCUUAGAAAAAUACAUUUAUAAGUGAGGACUUGCAGUGUACAGCGGGAAUAGCU
RNAcentral lists this small nuclear RNA (143 nucleotides) under Hucho hucho (huchen). Its description in RNAcentral is "Flavo-1 RNA (ENSHHUG00000016454.1)". Lineage: Eukaryota; Metazoa; Chordata; Actinopteri; Salmoniformes; Salmonidae. The record is from RNAcentral.